AAUUUUGGACAUUGGGGGAAACCCUGAUCCAGCCAUCCCGCGUGUAUGAUGAAGGCCUUCGGUUUGUAAAGUACUUUUGUCAGAGAAGAAAAGGUAUCCCCUAAAACGGGAUACAGCUGACGGUACCUGCAGAAUACGCACCGGCUAACAAGGUGCCAGCAGCCGCGGUAAUACGUAGGGUGCAAACGUUAAUCGGAAUUACUGGGCUGAAAGCGUGUGUAGGCGGUUCGGAAAGAAAGAUGUGAAAACCCAGGGCUCAACCUUGGAACUGCAUUUUUAACUGCCGAGCUAGAGUAUGUCAGAGGGGGGUAGAAUUCCACGUGUAGCAGUGAAAUGCGUAGAUAUGUGGAGGAAUACCGAUGGCGAAGGCAGCCCCCUGGGAUAAUACUGACGCUCAGACACGAAAGCGUGGGGAGCAAACAGG
RNAcentral lists this ribosomal RNA (424 nucleotides) under uncultured bacterium. RNAcentral describes it as "partial 16S ribosomal RNA". It matches the Rfam family "Bacterial small subunit ribosomal RNA", at positions 360 to 776 of the family's 1533-position model. The record is from RNAcentral.